Molecule: ribosomal RNA, 926 nt
Filed under: Lactiplantibacillus plantarum
Lineage: Bacteria; Bacillati; Bacillota; Bacilli; Lactobacillales; Lactobacillaceae
Description: bacterial SSU rRNA
Rfam family: Bacterial small subunit ribosomal RNA
Source: RNAcentral
GAGUCUGAUGGAGCACGCCGCGUGAGUGAAGAAGGGUUUCGGCUCGUAAAACUCUGUUGUUAAAGAAGAACAUAUCUGAGAGUAACUGUUCAGGUAUUGACGGUAUUUAACCAGAAAGCCACGGCUAACUACGUGCCAGCAGCCGCGGUAAUACGUAGGUGGCAAGCGUUGUCCGGAUUUAUUGGGCGUAAAGCGAGCGCAGGCGGUUUUUUAAGUCUGAUGUGAAAGCCUUCGGCUCAACCGAAGAAGUGCAUCGGAAACUGGGAAACUUGAGUGCAGAAGAGGACAGUGGAACUCCAUGUGUAGCGGUGAAAUGCGUAGAUAUAUGGAAGAACACCAGUGGCGAAGGCGGCUGUCUGGUCUGUAACUGACGCUGAGGCUCGAAAGUAUGGGUAGCAAACAGGAUUAGAUACCCUGGUAGUCCAUACCGUAAACGAUGAAUGCUAAGUGUUGGAGGGUUUCCGCCCUUCAGUGCUGCAGCUAACGCAUUAAGCAUUCCGCCUGGGGAGUACGGCCGCAAGGCUGAAACUCAAAGGAAUUGACGGGGGCCCGCACAAGCGGUGGAGCAUGUGGUUUAAUUCGAAGCUACGCGAAGAACCUUACCAGGUCUUGACAUACUAUGCAAAUCUAAGAGAUUAGACGUUCCCUUCGGGGACAUGGAUACAGGUGGUGCAUGGUUGUCGUCAGCUCGUGUCGUGAGAUGUUGGGUUAAGUCCCGCAACGAGCGCAACCCUUAUUAUCAGUUGCCAGCAUUAAGUUGGGCACUCUGGUGAGACUGCCGGUGACAAACCGGAGGAAGGUGGGGAUGACGUCAAAUCAUCAUGCCCCUUAUGACCUGGGCUACACACGUGCUACAAUGGAUGGUACAACGAGUUGCGAACUCGCGAGAGUAAGCUAAUCUCUUAAGCCAUUCUCAGUUCGGAUUG